GCAGGUGAAUACAACGUUGAGCGAUGAACGUUGUGCUCCAUAAUUGUAGUUCUUCUCAUAUUGAGAUUUGUACAGAAUAAUUGACCAUUCUUAUGCCGAUGCUAGUGUUAGCAUCGGCUAUU
Molecule: small RNA, 122 nt
Filed under: Xenorhabdus beddingii
Lineage: Bacteria; Pseudomonadati; Pseudomonadota; Gammaproteobacteria; Enterobacterales; Morganellaceae
Description: frnS
Rfam family: Fumarate/nitrate reductase regulator sRNA
Source: RNAcentral